UAUAAAGACCUGACUUUGUGUAGAGACCUGU
RNAcentral lists this non-coding RNA (31 nucleotides) under Mus musculus (house mouse). The record is from RNAcentral. Lineage: Eukaryota; Metazoa; Chordata; Mammalia; Rodentia; Muridae.